CCUACGGGUGGCACCAGUAGGGAAUCUUCGGCAAUGGACGAAAGUCUGGCCGAGCAACGCCGCGUGAGUGAAGAAGGUUUUCGGAUCGUAAAACUCUGUUGUUAGAGAAGAACAAGUAGGAGAGUAACUGCUCUUACCUUGACGGUAUCCAACCAGAAAGCCACGGCUAACUACGUGCCAGCAGCCGCGGUAAUACGUAGGUGGCAAGCGUUGUCCGGAUUUAUUGGGCGUAAAGCGAGCGCAGGCGGUCUUUUAAGUCUGAUGUGAAAGCCCUCGGCUCAACCGAGGAAGGUCAUUGGAAACUGGAGGACUUGAGUGCAGAAGAGGAGAGUGGAAUUCCAUGUGUAGUGGUGAAAUGCAUAGAUAUAUGGAGGAACACCAGUGGCGAAGGCGACUCUCUGGUCUGUAACUGACGCUGAGGUUCGAAAGCGUGGGGAGCAAACAGGAUUAGAUACCCUUGUAGUC
Molecule: ribosomal RNA, 465 nt
Filed under: uncultured bacterium
Lineage: Bacteria
Description: bacterial SSU rRNA
Rfam family: Bacterial small subunit ribosomal RNA
Source: RNAcentral